AUUGAACGCUGGCGGCAGGCCUACCACAUGCAAGUCGAGCGGAUGAAGGGAGCUUGCUCCUGGAUUCAGCGGCGGACGGGUGAGUAAUGCCUAGGAAUCUGCCUGGUAGUGGGGGAUAACGUCCGGAAACGGGCGCUAAUACCGCAUACGUCCUGAGGGAGAAAGUGGGGGAUCUUCGGACCUCACGCUAUCAGAUGAGCCUAGGUCGGAUUAGCUAGUUGGUGGGGUAAAGGCCUACCAAGGCGACGAUCCGUAACUGGUCUGAGAGGAUGAUCAGUCACACUGGAACUGAGACACGGUCCAGACUCCUACGGGAGGCAGCAGUGGGGAAUAUUGGACAAUGGGCGAAAGCCUGAUCCAGCCAUGCCGCGUGUGUGAAGAAGGUCUUCGGAUUGUAAAGCACUUUAAGUUGGGAGGAAGGGCAGUAAGUUAAUACCUUGCUGUUUUGACGUUACCAACAGAAUAAGCACCGGCUAACUUCGUGCCAGCAGCCGCGGUAAUACGAAGGGUGCAAGCGUUAAUCGGAAUUACUGGGCGUAAAGCGCGCGUAGGUGGUUCAGCAAGUUGGAUGUGAAAUCCCCGGGCUCAACCUGGGAACUGCAUCCAAAACUACUGAGCUAGAGUACGGUAGAGGGUGGUGGAAUUUCCUGUGUAGCGGUGAAAUGCGUAGAUAUAGGAAGGAACACCAGUGGCGAAGGCGACCACCUGGACUGAUACUGACACUGAGGUGCGAAAGCGUGGGGAGCAAACAGGAUUAGAUACCCUGGUAGUCCACGCCGUAAACGAUGUCGACUAGCCGUUGGGAUCCUUGAGAUCUUAGUGGCGCAGCUAACGCGAUAAGUCGAACGCCUGGGGAGUACGGCCGCAAGGUUA
RNAcentral lists this ribosomal RNA (873 nucleotides) under uncultured Pseudomonadales bacterium. RNAcentral's name for it is "bacterial SSU rRNA". It matches the Rfam family "Bacterial small subunit ribosomal RNA", at positions 28 to 896 of the family's 1533-position model. Lineage: Bacteria; Pseudomonadati; Pseudomonadota; Gammaproteobacteria; Pseudomonadales. The record is from RNAcentral.